This 253-nucleotide ribosomal RNA is filed under the name uncultured bacterium. RNAcentral's name for it is "partial 16S ribosomal RNA". It matches the Rfam family "Archaeal small subunit ribosomal RNA", at positions 474 to 727 of the family's 1478-position model. The record is from RNAcentral.
UACCAGCACCCCGAGUGGUCGGGACGAUUAUUGGGCCUAAAGCAUCCGUAGCCGGCCUUACAAGUCCUCCGUUAAAUCCAGCUGCUUAACAGAUGGGCUGCGGAGGAUACUAUAAGACUAGGAGGCAGGAGAGGCAAGCGGUACUCAGUGGGUAGGGGUAAAAUCCGUUGAUCCAUUGAAGACCACCAGUGGCGAAGGCGGUUGCCUGGAGCUUUGCUGACGCUGAUGCGCGAAAGCGUGGGGAGCGAUCCGG